This is a non-coding RNA of Diceros bicornis minor, 1119 nucleotides long. The record is from the annotation of a RefSeq genome assembly. Lineage: Eukaryota; Metazoa; Chordata; Mammalia; Perissodactyla; Rhinocerotidae.
AUGAAGCUCAGGAGGGGGCUGAGUUUUUGUAGAAGCUGUAACCAGUGUGACAGCUCCGGCUGGAUCAAGAAAUUUGGAAAACCAACUAAGCUCAUUGUCGUUCCCUCUGAUAGAAGACUUCCUGCAGACGUUUCCCCCAAGCCCACCAUUUUUCUUCCUUCAAUUGCUGAAAUAAACCUCCAUAAUGCUGGAACAUAUCUUUGUCUUCUUGAGAAUUUUUUCCCAGAUGUUAUAAGGGUAUAUUGGAAAGAAAAGAAUGGCAAUAGAAUUCUGGAAUCCCAGCAGGGAAAUAUCAUGAAGACUAAUGACACAUACAUGAAAUUCAGCUGGCUGACCGUGACAGGAAGUUCAAUAAAUGAAGAGCACAUGUGUAUCGUACAACACGAGAAGAAUAGAGGAGAGGUUGACCAAGAGAUUCUCUUUCCUUCAGUGAUCAAAGUUCUCCUCUCAAUUGUCGCUACUAUUGAUUCUACAAAGGCUCUUCUGAAAGAUAAAAGCAUUGUCACUGCUAUUGAUUCUACAAAAUCUUCCCCAAAAGAGGAAAGUGAGGUCACUGCUAUUAAUUCUACAAAAGCUUGUCUGAAAGAUGAAAGCAACACCCUGCAGCUGCAGCUCACCAGCACCUCUGCUUGUUAUGCUUACCUCCUCCUCCUCCUCAUGAGUGCCGUCUACUUUGCCAUCAUCGCCUUCUGUCUGUUUAGGAGAACAGUAGUCUGUGGCAAUGGAAAGAGUUCAUAACAGAUGGUGGAAACAAGAAGGCAACUUUUCUCCAUUGUUUUUUGUCCCUAAAAGUGUCUCAUAAAGAUCUACCUUGGCUUUCUCUCUGAGUGUGGGUUAUUUCAUUUCACGUGUGUAUUUUUCUAUGAUGUCGUUGUUGCAUAAUGGUUUUGUAAACCAUUGGGCAAACAGAAAAUUAUAGUCUGUAGCAACAAUGACUUCUGCCAUUACUCAGGGUCAGGGCCAAGGGGUAAUCCCUUAGCACCACUGUCUCCGUGAUCUCCAUCAGCUCCUCCAGCAACCCAAAUAAUCAUGCCUUCUGAGUAUAGACAGGAUGCAGCUUCUAGUCACGUCUCUUAGGGCCAUUUAACCAGAUGACCACCUUGAAGCCUUCCAUUUUAC